UGGGGAAUAUUGCACAAUGGGCGCAAGCCUGAUGCAGCCAUGCCGCGUGUGUGAAGAAGGCCUUCGGGUUGUAAGGCAGCUUUCAGCGAGGAGGAAGGUGGUGAACUUAAUACGUUCAUCAAUUGACGUUACUCGCAGAAGAAGCACCGGCUAACUCCGUGCCAGCAGCCGCGGUAAUACGGAGGGUGCAAGCGUUAAUCGGAAUUACUGGGCGUAAAGCGCACGCAGGCGGUUUGUUAAGUCAGAUGUGAAAUCCCCGGGCUCAACCUGGGAACUGCAUUUGAAACUGGCAAGCUAGAGUCUCGUAGAGGGGGGUAGAAUUCCAGGUGGUAGCGGUGAAAUGCGUAGAGAUCUGGAAGGAAUACCGGUGGCGAAGGCGGCCCCCUGGACGAAGACUGACCGCUCAGGUGCGAAAGCGUGGGGAGCAAAACAGGAUUAGGAUAACCCUGGUAGUCCACGCUGUAAACGAUGUCGAUUUUGGAGGUUGUGCCCUUGAGGCGUGGCUUCCGGAGCUAACGCGUUAAAUCGACCGCCUGGGGAGUACGGCC
Molecule: ribosomal RNA, 548 nt
Filed under: uncultured bacterium
Lineage: Bacteria
Description: partial 16S ribosomal RNA
Rfam family: Bacterial small subunit ribosomal RNA
Source: RNAcentral